RNAcentral lists this unclassified non-coding RNA (336 nucleotides) under soil metagenome. RNAcentral's name for it is "partial contains 5.8S ribosomal RNA, internal transcribed spacer 2, and large subunit ribosomal RNA". The stretch from base 1 to 120 matches the Rfam family "5.8S ribosomal RNA", at positions 35 to 154 of the family's 154-position model. The record is from RNAcentral.
GAUGAAGAACGUAGUGAAAUGCGAUAAGUAAUGUGAAUUGCAGAAUUCAGUGAAUCAUCGAAUCUUUGAACGCACAUUGCGCCCGCCAGUAUUCUGGCGGGCAUGCCUGUUCGAGCGUCAUUUCAACCAUCAAGCCCCAGGCUUGUGUUGGGGACCUGCGGCUGCCGCAGGCCCUGAAAACCAGUGGCGGGCUCGCUGUCACACCGGGCGUAGUAGAUUUUAUCUCGCUCAGGGCGUGCUGCGGGUCCCGGCCGUUAAAAGCCUUUUUUUACCCAAGGUUGACCUCGGAUCAGGUAGGAAGACCCGCUGAACUUAAGCAUAUCAAUAAGCGGAGGA